This 253-nucleotide ribosomal RNA is filed under the name uncultured prokaryote. RNAcentral's name for it is "partial 16S ribosomal RNA". It matches the Rfam family "Bacterial small subunit ribosomal RNA", at positions 524 to 776 of the family's 1533-position model. The record is from RNAcentral.
GACGUAGGGCACAAGCGUUGUCCGGAUUUAUUGGGCGUAAAGAGUGCGUAGGUGGUCCCCUAAGUUCGGUGUGAAAUCUCCCGGCUUAACUGGGAGGGUGCGCCGAAAACUGGAAGGCUUGAGUAUGGGAGAGGUAAGCGGAAUUCCUGGUGUAGCGGUGAAAUGCGUAGAUAUCGAGAGGAACACCUGCGGCGAAGGCGGGUUGCUGGGCUGACACUGACGCUGAGGCGCGAAAGCCAGGGGAGCGAACGGG